RNAcentral lists this ribosomal RNA (526 nucleotides) under uncultured bacterium. Its description in RNAcentral is "bacterial SSU rRNA". It matches the Rfam family "Bacterial small subunit ribosomal RNA", at positions 338 to 837 of the family's 1533-position model. The record is from RNAcentral.
CCUACGGGAGGCAGCAGUGGGGAAUUUUGGACAAUGGGCGCAAGCCUGAUCCAGCAAUGCCGCGUGCAGGAUGAAGGCCUUCGGGUUGUAAACUGCUUUUGUACGGAGCGAAACGGUCUACUCUAAUACAGUGGGCUAAUGACGGUACCGUAAGAAUAAGCACCGGCUAACUACGUGCCAGCAGCCGCGGUAAUACGUAGGGUGCGAGCGUUAAUCGGAAUUACUGGGCGUAAAGCGUGCGCAGGCGGUUAUAUAAGACAGAUGUGAAAUCCCCGGGCUCAACCUGGGACCUGCAUUUGUGACUGUAUAGCUAGAGUGCGGCAGAGGGGGAUGGAAUUCCGCGUGUAGCAGUGAAAUGCGUAGAUAUGCGGAGGAACACCGAUGGCGAAGGCAAUCCCCUGGGCCUGCACUGACGCUCAUGCACGAAGACGGUGGGGAGGACGAAACGAAGGAGUAGUAUACCCGUACGGUACGUACCGACCGACCCGUAAACCGUACUAGUCUACUAGGUUGGUUGGGUUCGUUC